This 92-nucleotide microRNA precursor is filed under the name Erinaceus europaeus (western European hedgehog). RNAcentral's name for it is "miRNA (ENSEEUG00000019481.1)". The record is from RNAcentral. Lineage: Eukaryota; Metazoa; Chordata; Mammalia; Eulipotyphla; Erinaceidae.
CUCUCUCUCUAUAUAUAUAUGUAUACACACUCUCUCUAUAUAUAUUUGUAUAUGUAUAUGUGUAUAUAUAUAUCAAAAGAUUAAGUACUGUA